This is a non-coding RNA of Paramuricea clavata, 86 nucleotides long. The record is from the annotation of a GenBank genome assembly. Lineage: Eukaryota; Metazoa; Cnidaria; Anthozoa; Malacalcyonacea; Plexauridae.
AAAAAUAAUAACCGGGUAGCAGUAUGGUAGCAGGUUAUUACGGAAAAAUAAUAACCUGCUAGUCUGCUACCAGGUUAUUAUUUUUC